RNAcentral lists this ribosomal RNA (486 nucleotides) under uncultured bacterium. RNAcentral's name for it is "partial 16S ribosomal RNA". It matches the Rfam family "Bacterial small subunit ribosomal RNA", at positions 899 to 1397 of the family's 1533-position model. The record is from RNAcentral.
ACUCAAAUGAAUAGACGGGGACUUGCACAAGCGGUGGAUCAUGCGGCUCAAUUCGAUGGCAAACGAAGAACCUCACCAGGGUUUGAAACCCAGACGUAAUCCUUAGGAAACUUUGGACCUCGCAAGACGGCUGGGCAGGUGAUGCAUGGUCGUCGUCAGUUCGUGGCUUGAGUUGUUCCCUUCAGUGGGGUAACGAACGCAACCCGCGUUGCCUGUUUUAUAUGUCAGGCGAGACUGCCCCCUCACGGGGGAGGAAGGUGCGGAUGACGCCAGAUCAGCAUGUCCCUCUGAUAUCCUGGGCUGCACGCAUGAUACAAUGCACUCGACAACGGGUCGCGACGGGGUAACCCUGAGCCAAUCCUUAUAAACGAGUGCCCAGUUCGGAUUGAGGUCUGCAACUCGACCUCAUGAAGCCGGAAUCGCUAGUAAUCGCGGGUCAGCUAUACCGCGGUGAAUACGUUCUCAAGUCUUGUACACACCGCCCGU